This 253-nucleotide ribosomal RNA is filed under the name uncultured bacterium. RNAcentral's name for it is "partial 16S ribosomal RNA". It matches the Rfam family "Bacterial small subunit ribosomal RNA", at positions 524 to 776 of the family's 1533-position model. The record is from RNAcentral.
GACAGAGGGUGCAAACGUUGUUUCGGAAUUAUUGGGCGUAAAGAGCUCGUAGGCGGUUUGUCGCGUCUGCUGUGAAAACUGGAGGCUCAACCUCCAGCCUGCAGUGGGUACGGGCAGACUAGAGUGCGGUAGGGGAGAUUGGAAUUCCUGGUGUAGCGGUGGAAUGCGCAGAUAUCAGGAGGAACACCAAUAGCGAAGGCAGCUCGCUGGGACGUACUGACACUGAGGCGCGAAAGCGUGGGGAGCGAACAGG